RNA transcript from Daphnia magna, 538 nucleotides. RefSeq lists it as uncharacterized. The transcript has 3 exons. The record is from RefSeq and is a predicted model, not a curated record. Lineage: Eukaryota; Metazoa; Arthropoda; Branchiopoda; Diplostraca; Daphniidae.
CGUCAAUGCGCUGCCACCCUGCGCAUAUUUUGUUCCCAAUUCCGAGCGUUCCUGCGGUAGAAGAUCGCAACUCACUCAAAACAAAAGCUGGUGUUCAAUACUGGUUUACUGGUUUAACAUUUCAACAUUUAGGAAGCUUUUACAUUUUUAAAAGUUGUGGACAAUAUGGAAGCAGAGAGCUCAGAGAUGGGACAGGUAGACACUGAAGAGGUAGACUUAGGUAGUCAAGAAGCAGUAAUCGAUUUGAUUGAUCAGAAGAACCCAAAUUACAAAGGGAAUGCGAAGCAAGUUCCAAUAGAUCUGGUUUGUUGAGCUAUUUUUCUGUAAAUAACCUGUGCUGUAAUCAGUAUGUAUAUGUUUUUAUCAGCCAUCAUCCUGUCAAGAGAUCUUGCAAUCAGGCUUUCAGAAUAUAGUCGUGGAAGAAUUGGAACCCCCAAUCGUUGACCUAAAUGAACUGGUUCAGGCUGCCAGCAACUUACAUGUACAUCACCAUCAAAUUUUGGUGAACGUGAGGUUUAUUAAAAGAACAAAAUUUAAA